UUUUAAAUGGCCGCAGUAUUUUGACUGUGCAAAGGUAGCAUAAUCAUUAGUUUUUUAAUUAAAAGCUUGUAUGAAAGGCUGGACGAGGUAAAAUCUGUCUCUAUUUAAAUUAUAAUAGAAUUUAACUUUUAAGUUAAAAGGCUUAAAUAUUAUUAAAAGACGAGAAGACCCUAUAGAUCUUUAUAAUUUAUUAAAUAAAAUUUAUUUAGAAUUAUUUAUGUUUUAUUUAAUUAAAUUAUUUAAUUGGGGUAAUUGAAAGAUUGAAUUAAUUCUUUUUUGUUAUAAACAUUAAUUUAUGAAUAUUAAAUGAUCCAGUUUUACUGAUUAUAAGAUUAAGUUACCUUAGGGAUAACAGCGUAAUUUUUUUAGAGAGUUCAUAUCGAUAAAAAAGUUUGCGACCUCGAUGUUGGAUUAAAGAUUAUUUUAGGUGUAGAAGCUUAAUAAUUUUGGUCUGUUCGACCAUUAAAUCUUUACAUGAUCUGAGUUCAGACCGGCGUAAGCCAGGUCGGUUUCUAUCUUUAAUAAAAUAAAAUAUUUUAGUACGAAAGGACCAAGUAUUUGAUAUAUUUAUAUUUAGUUAAUUGAAUAUUA
This 591-nucleotide ribosomal RNA is filed under the name Carabus rugosus. RNAcentral's name for it is "LSU rRNA". It matches the Rfam family "Bacterial large subunit ribosomal RNA", at positions 1921 to 2737 of the family's 2925-position model. The record is from RNAcentral. Lineage: Eukaryota; Metazoa; Arthropoda; Insecta; Coleoptera; Carabidae.